RNAcentral lists this ribosomal RNA (1988 nucleotides) under human metagenome. RNAcentral describes it as "bacterial LSU rRNA". It matches the Rfam family "Bacterial large subunit ribosomal RNA", at positions 3 to 2082 of the family's 2925-position model. The record is from RNAcentral.
UCAAGCUAAUAAGGGCGCAAGGGGGAUGCCUUGGCAUUGGAAGCCGAUGAAGGACGUAGCGAUCUACGAUAAGCCUCGGGGAGACGAAAGCAGUCAUCGAUCCGGGGAUUUCCGAAUGGGGAAACCCGCUGGAGCAAUACUCCAGCAACUCUUUGUGAAUCAAAUAGCAAAUUGUGGGGAACCGCCUGAACUGAAACAUCUAAGUAGGGCGAGGAAAAGAAAUCAACCGAGAUUCCGCUAGUAGUGGCGAGCGAACGCGGAAGAGGCCAAACCAAGGGUAGUAAUACCUUUGGGGUAUGGACAGCGCACGGUAUUGAGGAUCGAUAGUGGAAUGAAAUGGGAAGUUCAACCAUAGAGUGUGAGAGUCACGUACACGAAAUUGAGAAUCAGCCAGCUGUAUCCGGAGUACCGCCGGACACGUGAAACCCGGUGGGAAUAUGGGGGGACCACCCUCCAAGCCUAAAUACUCUCCAAUGACCGAUAGUGUAUAGUACUGUGAAGGAAAGGUGAAAAGAACCCCUGGCGGGGAGUGAAAAAGAACCUGAAACCUUGUGCCUACAAGCACAUAGAGCACAUCAACGUGUGAUAUGGUACCUUUUGUAGAAUGGUCCGGCGAGUAAAUGUCACUAGCGAGGUUAAGGACUUAAGGUCUGCAGCCGAAGCGAAAGCGAGUCUUAACUGGGCGCUUUAGUUAGUGGUAUUUGACCCGAAACCGAGUGACCUAGCCAUGAGCAGGCUGAAGUGGAGGUAAAACUCCAUGGAGGGCCGAACCCACUCCCGUUGAAAUGGUAGGGGAUGACUUGUGGCUAGCGGAGAAAUUCCAAUCGAACUCGGAUAUAGCUGGUUCUCUCCGAAAUAGCUUUAGGGCUAGCCUCAAUUAACAUUACCGAAGGUAAAGCACUGACUGAGCUAGGGGGCGAAAGCUUACUGAACUCUAUCAAACUAAGAAUGUCGGAUAAUGAAUGAUUGGGAGUCACACUGCGUGAGAUAAGUUUCGCGGUGGAAAGGGAAACAGCCCAGACCUACAGCUAAGGUCCCAAAGUAUGGUUAAGUGGAAAAGGAUGUGGAAUUGCGUAGACAACCAGGAUGUUGGCUCAGAAGCAGCCACUCAUUUAAAGAGUGCGUAAUAGCUCACUGGUCGAGUGACUCUGCGCCGAAAAUUUAACGGGGCUAAACCAUACACCGAAGCUUAGGAAUAUACUUUUAGUAUGUUGGUAGGAGAGCGUCGUAUACGGGGUGAAGUUACAGCGGAAGCGGUAGUGGACUGUAUACGAGUGAGAAUGCCGGAAUGAGUAGCGAGAAUUAUGUGAGAAUCAUAAUGGCCGAAAGACUGAGGUUUUAGAAGGAAGGUUCGUCCGCUUCUAGUUAGCCGGGGGCUAAGGCGAGGCCGAGAGGCGUAGUCGAUGCACAUACGGUAGAGAUUCCGUAGCCACCUUGAAUUUAAACUGAGGGACACAUUGAAAGGGUAUAUCCCGGGCGUUGGUUGACCCGGGCGUAAGGGAGCUAACAUAUCAGCGAAGUAUACUUGGACAGUGGCGAGAAAAGCUCAGUGUAUAUAAUCAGGGUGCCCGUACUGCAAACCGACACAGGUAGUCAGGAAGAGAAUUCUAAGGCCAACGGGAGAAGGAUUGUUAAGGAACUCGGCAAAUUGACCCCGUAACUUCGGAAUAAGGGGUGCUCACGAGAGUGAGCCGCAGUGAAUAGGUCCAGGCAACUGUUUAUCAAAAACACAGCUCUCUGCUAAAUCGUAAGAUGAUGUAUAGGGGGUGACACCUGCCCGGUGCUGGAAGGUUAAGAGGAGGAGUGCAAGCUCCGAAUUGAAGCCCCAGUAAACGGCGGCCGUAACUAUAACGGUCCUAAGGUAGCGAAAUUCCUUGUCGGGUAAGUUCCGACCCGCACGAAUGGUGUAAUGAUCUGGGCACUGUCUCAAUUACCCGCCCGGCGAAAUUGUAGUACCGGUGAAGAUGCCGGUUACCCGCGACAAGACG